CCCCAGUGGGGGAAGGUUCUCUGCUUAAAGCUCUCUUCUCUGGGGGAUUUUUAUGGUGAACCUAGAUCCUUGAAGAUGGGAGCUUGAUCCAAGGCCUGCAGGAGCUGGUGGAAAUCUCCCAGCCGAUGUGAUGUUGCACUAAGCUAGCCAUUUGCAUGAAUUUCAAUGGUAGCCACAAAUGAAUGCUGGGGAAUGCCACAGGUUGGAUGACUAGAUACUCCAAGACCUACCAUAGAUGCUGGCUGUCACUAAUGUCCAAGGCAGAUAAACUCAACAUGAUUUAGACUGGAACUUCUGCAUCUCAAAAAUGCAUGCAUUCAUUAUUACUAUUACAAGCACCUCUGUCUUCAGUCUGACUUGAACCAUAUGCCUCUCUCCAAUUUAUAGGAGGGAGAGGAGGUUCUUUUGAAAUAUGUAUACCUGGCAUGAGAUUAAGAAACAACGGUUCAAAUGUUUGUUCGACCAGUUUAUUACAAAUGUUAAUAGGGA
Molecule: long non-coding RNA, 489 nt
Organism: Gallus gallus (chicken)
Lineage: Eukaryota; Metazoa; Chordata; Aves; Galliformes; Phasianidae
Source: Ensembl